UUUGCUUCACCUCUUUCUCCCCAAAGAGCUUCUCGUCUACCUACUUCGGGGGGACCACAACCUCGCACGUGCCUCUGCAGGGCGCCAGCAACCCAGCCUCUCCGCACGCAUCACCUGAGCGCAAGUCAACGGGCCGAACACCGCCGUGCCAGGAAAAACGAGAUUUAUCACAACGCCUAACCAGACGCUGACACAUCUGGGUCACGACCGCAUCACGCACGGGGAAGGUUUACAGAAAGUGCACAGUUCCCGAAGUCGUACCGAAUUUCACAAAGGGAACUGCUGAAACAUAAAGGGUUCGUGGCGAGUAACAGCCCGGCGGGCGCACACAUAUGGUUUUCCUUUCUGCCGCCUGGCGCAGACGCACGGCACGGCGCACAAACCCAGAGCUCGGCUGCGGCGACAGCCCGGGGAAGCGGGGCCGAACCGGGAACUGCUGGAGGAGGCUCGGGAGCCACAGAGCUGCCCCCAUGCACGGGGGCUUCCUCCUGCGGGCGGUGAUCGGGGACUUUCGGCUCUCUUGCAAAAAAUGGGUGGCGACAGAUGAAAGGCGCGCGUGCAAUCGCGGAUUUCUGCGCUCCGUUACAGAUGUGCAGAGCCGGAGUAACUCCAGGACGUGAGCCAGCGUUUGGGAGGUGAGGGGCAGCACCUUGCCAUCAGACACGAGCAUCCCCCCAGCAAACAGCGUUGGAGCUGCCUGGGAGCCACCCAGCACAAACCUCAGCUGAGCCAGCAGCAGAGAACAGAGCAGCGUGCUCUCUUUCCUGGUCUUAAAUCCUUAAAUCACAUCCCAAGGGUCCCGACAAGAAAUUCGUCAUUUUGGGGCAGUGUUUCCCUUUUCGUAUCCUGCCCGCCUGCAUCUGGAGCUUUCAGUCCCUGCUGUGCAAUCACGCAGGGGACCCGGAGGAGGUAAAAAGACACCCUGUCUCCAGCAACGGGACUUCUUCCAGCUGCUUGCACGGGAGCAGGCGUAUAUCAUCCUCAGCUGAUACGCUGCCCUGGAAGAGGAGGACUUCAUGUUUACCA
This is a long non-coding RNA of Cygnus atratus (black swan), 1026 nucleotides long. RefSeq lists it as uncharacterized. NCBI's taxonomy places the organism in Eukaryota, Metazoa, Chordata, Aves, Anseriformes, Anatidae. The transcript is spliced from 3 exons. The record is from RefSeq and is a predicted model, not a curated record.